AUUGAACGCUAACGGUAUGCUUAACACAUGCAAGUCGAACGGCAGCACAGCAGUAGCAAUACUGUGGGUGGCGAGUGGCGGACGGGUGAGUAAUGUAUAGGAAUCUGCCUUGUAGUGGGGGAUAACCUGGGGAAACUCGGGCUAAUACCGCAUAAUCUCUACGGAGCAAAGCGGGGGACCGAAAGGCCUUGCGCUAUAAGAUGAGCCUAUAUUGGAUUAGCUAGUUGGUGGGGUAAAGGCCUACCAAGGCGACGAUCCAUAGCUGGUCUGAGAGGAUGAUCAGCCACACUGGGACUGAGACACGGCCCAGACUCCUACGGGAGGCAGCAGUGGGGAAUAUUGGACAAUGGGGGAAACCCUGAUCCAGCAAUACCGUGUGUGUGAAGAAGGCCUUAGGGUUGUAAAGCACUUUUAGUGGGAAAGAAAGCUUGAAACUAAUACU
This 442-nucleotide ribosomal RNA is filed under the name uncultured bacterium. RNAcentral's name for it is "bacterial SSU rRNA". It matches the Rfam family "Bacterial small subunit ribosomal RNA", at positions 30 to 466 of the family's 1533-position model. The record is from RNAcentral.